CUACGGGAUGCAGCAGUGAGGAAUAUUGGUCAAUGGGCGGAAGCCUGAACCAGCCAUCCCGCGUGCAGGAUGACGGCCCUAUGGGUUGUAAACUGCUUUUCUAUGCCAAGAAAGGACGCUACGAGUAGCGUAUUGACGGUAGCAUAGGAAUAAGCACCGGCUAACUCCGUGCCAGCAGCCGCGGUAAUACGGAGGGUGCGAGCGUUAUCCGGAUUUAUUGGGUUUAAAGGGUGCGCAGGCGGAAAUGUAAGUCAGUGGUGAAAGGCUGCCGCUUAACGGUAGGACUGCCAUUGAUACUGCUUUUCUUGAGUAUGGUUGAGGUAGGCGGAAUGUGUAGUGUAGCGGUGAGAUGCAUAGAUAUUACACAGAACACCGAUUGCGAAGGCAGCCUACUAAGCCAUCACUGACGCUGAGGCACGAAAGCGUGGGUAGCGAACAGGAUUAGAUACCCCAGUAGUC
This 459-nucleotide ribosomal RNA is filed under the name uncultured bacterium. RNAcentral's name for it is "partial 16S ribosomal RNA". It matches the Rfam family "Bacterial small subunit ribosomal RNA", at positions 339 to 795 of the family's 1533-position model. The record is from RNAcentral.